This 377-nucleotide ribosomal RNA is filed under the name uncultured bacterium. RNAcentral describes it as "partial 16S ribosomal RNA". It matches the Rfam family "Bacterial small subunit ribosomal RNA", at positions 338 to 732 of the family's 1533-position model. The record is from RNAcentral.
CCUACGGGUGGCAGCAGUGGGGAAUAUUGCACAAUGGGGGAAACCCUGAUGCAGCGAUGCCGCGUGGAGGAAGAAGGUUUUCGGAUUGGAAACUCCGUUUAUCAGGGACGAUAAGGACGGUACGUGAAGAAAAAGCUCCGGAUAACUACGUGACAGCAGGCGCGGUUAUACGUAGGGAGCGGGUGUUGUCCGGAAUUACUGGGGUUAAAGGGUGCGUAGGCGGGACGGCAAGUCAGAUGUGAAAACGGAGGGCCCAACUUUCAGACUGCAUUUGAAACUGCUGUUCUUGAGUGGGGUAGAGGUACGCGGAAUGCCUGGUGUAGCGGUGAAAUGCGUAGAUAUUAGGCGGAACAUCGGUGGCGAAGGCAGCUUACUGG